UACUAAAAUUGCAAAAUUAGACAUUAUGUAGUAAAAUGUUUUACAGUGUGCAAACACAUAUCAAUACAACAAAUACAUAACAAAGGGAAAGUGCAGAAGUUCAGAAAAAUGUUUGCACCAGGAUUAUCACCCUUUCUAAAAUUGUACACACAGUUGAGAUUAUCUCCUCUCUAAAAUUGGUCACAGAUGAUAUUAUCUCCCCUCUUAAAUUGUACACACAGCUGAGAUUAUCUUCCCUUCUAAAAUUGUACACGAUUAUCUUCCUUCUAAAAUUGUACACAUUUGACAUUAUCUCCCCUCUAAAAUUGUAGACACAUUUGAGAUUAUCUCCCCUCUAAAAUUG
This 343-nucleotide long non-coding RNA is filed under the name Mytilus galloprovincialis (Mediterranean mussel). The record is from RNAcentral. Lineage: Eukaryota; Metazoa; Mollusca; Bivalvia; Mytilida; Mytilidae.